Molecule: ribosomal RNA, 423 nt
Filed under: uncultured bacterium
Lineage: Bacteria
Description: partial 16S ribosomal RNA
Rfam family: Bacterial small subunit ribosomal RNA
Source: RNAcentral
AAUUUUGGACAAUGGGGGGAACCCUGAUCAAGCCAUCCCGCGUGUGUGAUGAAGGCCUUCGGUUUGUAAAGCACUUUUGACAGGUAAGAACCAACACUUGCUAAUACCCACUGCCAAUGUCGGUACCUGUAGAAUAAGCACCGGCCAACUAAGUGCAAGAAGCCGCGGUGAUACGUAGGGUGCAAGCGUUAAACGGAAUUACUGGGCGUAAAGGGUACGCAGGCGGCUAAGAAAGAAGGAUGUGAAAACCCAGGGCUCAACCUUGGAACUGCAUUCUUAACUGCCUAGCUAGAGUAUGUCAGAGGGGGGUAGAAUUCCACGUGUAGCAGUGAAAUGCGUAGAUAUGUGGAGGAAUACCGACGGCGAAGGCAGCCCCCUGGGAUAAUACUGACGCUCAGGUACGAAAGCGUGGGGAGCAAACAG